GUCUUGUCCCCCUUCACUGUUAAAAAAAAGAGGCGAGGGCAACUGCUGCCCUGCGGGUGGGAUUCUGGCUGAGAGACCUUUGCAAAUCAGAUCCCAGGUAACUGGGCCCCAAACUCUCUAAAAGUGGCAGGAUGGAUUUUCCAUGGGCUUUAUGGCAAUAUCAAUAGAAUUAAAGUUACUUGUAAUUCAGUGAUAAAUGGGAUGUCUCUAGUAAGUAAGAUUAAGUACAGUGCUUUAAAGUUGUUUAUCUGAAAAGUAAUUCUCAGAAAACCUGACUUCUGACACUUGGUCAUAUAUUAAGCCAGCGUCUUGAACAUUGCACUUCAGAAUAGUCUUACCCACCAGGUCGCAUACUUCACUAUUUAUAAUGAGACUUAGUGUCACUCCCCUGCUUCAUACACCAGAUUAACCCUGUGUUAAUUUCUCUGAUCUUGGCAGCCUUCGGUUCCAGCAAAUUCAGGAAUCCCUACUGGGAGACCUCCCAGAAGAUUUGUAGGGACAUCCUCAUCCUAAAAGGGCAGCACUGUUGGUAUUUUCCUUACAAGCCUGCUACAGAGGAGUUGUUUAUAAGGGUAGUUUGGGUUUGAGGGAAUGCUUUGUUAGGGUGGAAUGAACUGGGUUUAGUCCCAGUAUGGGAAGAAAGAGUGAAGAUUCUAUCAAUAUUUAUGUCAUCUAAGAUAAUUCCCUUGCUUUCCUCCUCUGACAGUAUUUUACCUACUAAUGAAGUUAAAGGAUUUCAGUUUAUGUAUUCAGAGGAAAAUCCACUGCUUAAAUUUCACAAACAUUAUGGUGUUCAGCAUUGUUCAUGAUGUCCAAAGUUUGUGUGUGUGUGUGUGUGUGUGUGUUAAAUGUAGAUUUAUGUGUCC
This 866-nucleotide long non-coding RNA is filed under the name Marmota monax (woodchuck). The record is from RNAcentral. Lineage: Eukaryota; Metazoa; Chordata; Mammalia; Rodentia; Sciuridae.